Beta vulgaris subsp. vulgaris (sugar beet) is the source of this 1238-nucleotide RNA transcript. RefSeq lists it as hypothetical. The record is from RefSeq and is a predicted model, not a curated record. The transcript is spliced from 4 exons. NCBI's taxonomy places the organism in Eukaryota, Viridiplantae, Streptophyta, Magnoliopsida, Caryophyllales, Amaranthaceae.
AUGAAUAUGAAUACGUGUCGAACAAAAUCCAUUACCACGUCUUCCACUUCCAAACAGCAAAUCAAUCACAACAAUGGCGGUAAAUCAAACUUACCUACGGCGCAGAGUUUCUCUACCGCAUUUCUGCUGAAAACGCAACUAUACUCACUUCACGGGUAUAUCAGUAUAAAUUGUUCCUGUGCUGACACUUCCACUUGUGUAUGCUUGAGCCAUCAUGGAGGAUAAAGGAGCUGCAAUGACAAUUGAUAAGACUGACCAUGGCCAGAGGAAAAGAGGAGCUGAAUCUGAGAGGGAUCAGAGGGAUAUUAUUCCUAAGCUGGACUCUUACCCUGAUAAAGAUACUGUGCAAUUUCAUAUGACUGAUCCCCGAUCUGGGAGAGAUAUUGCACAAAUGGAAGCAUCAAAUUAUAGUGAUCCAUCAACAGAGGUAAAUAUGGAGGCUACUAUAGAUCCUGAAGAUGUUGUACGAGCUGGAGGUUUUGGUGCCAGAGAUGAUUUAAGUAGUUUUCUUCCUAUCGCAAGCGACUCUACUGACUUUGAAGCUUCUUUGCUUGAUGCGCGUGACUAUGAAGAACCCCAGGGUGAGCAACGUCGACCAGGCCUUGGCUGGAGUGAAGAUAGUGUGUCAGAGUAAACUAUUUUUCCAGGAAGUAUCUUUCAGAAUUUAUACUUACAGUCACAGACAUUAACAUGUUAAAGGUUCUUGUGAUGAUGUAAAUAUCAUGAAAGAGCUCUCCCUUUGUAGAAGAUUCUUUGUCCUGGCGUGAGAAUUGAUAGAGGGUCAUAGGUUGAUUUCCUUCUUGCGAAUACAUCCCAUUUAGGCCCAAAAUGAGCUCGCCAAUGAUCCUGAGUGUUAUAAUGUGGAAGAUAUUGCUUUACCCCAAGCUUAGCCUUCUCACAGAAAUCGAGUAUACCUUUAUUCUUGGUUAAUAUAUUUUCAAGUCCGUCUGAUCCAGAUGAAGAUGGCAAUGCAGAUGUUAGAAUUGCUAUAAGGUAGAAAACAUCUUCUGCUGGGGUCACCAAAGAUGUCUUGUCAUUCCAUCUGUUCAGUAUAAUACAGAUUUAAAUUUAGUUUUUACCCGGGAAAAAGAUUCCACUUUACGUCUUCUUUGUGAGUAGGGGAAAUUCCUAGUUCAUAAUCAACAUAAACAUUUUUUGUCAAUAACAUUGUUAUAUUGUAUGUUCAGCAACAAAUGUUGUAUAAAAAAUCAAUCUAUAUCCAUCAUCUAUUUGCUAUA